CCCAAUCCCGCUCCCAAAAUUCUCCUUUCCCUCUUGUAAGUUCCACUCUCGGCUCUCUCUCCCUCUCAGCUCUGAACCCUCACUAUCCGACGUAACCCCUUCCUUUCACUCUUCAUCCUCUCUCCCUCUCCACCGUAAUCGCAGCCGCAGUCUGUGAUCUGUCACUCUCUCAACCCCCACUCUCCCAAACCCUCACUCAUCUGUGCCUCUCACUCUCUCAACCUCUCACUCUGUCAACCCCUCACUGUCGCAUCCCUCACCUCUAUUGCGUUCAGAUACCUACAAAAAAAGGAGCCCUCAAUGCUGAACCCAGUUACUCAUUCCAAAUUUCCGGUUUCCUUUAAAGAUUAUGGCUGCUGCUGUAACUGCGAGAACUGUUCGUGUUGUCAUUGUUGUUUUUGAUGGACCCAGUAGCUUUAUUGCUUAACUAGGAUAACAUUUUCAAGUGGCAUCCACGUCGCUUGUUCCCUCUUUACCCAUCAGGCCCCAGCUUUGGAUCUUUAUAGCACAAAAAAGCAUGUUCAACCCUUUCCUCUCUCCCUCUCCCUCACAUAUUUUUUCAUCACUAGAAAUUAAUUUCGUAUAAAUAUUAAAAUCAUUACUAAAAUAAUAAAUAAGACGAUAAAUAUCUGUUAUUGACAUA
This is a long non-coding RNA of Arachis duranensis, 643 nucleotides long. RefSeq lists it as uncharacterized. The transcript has 4 exons. NCBI's taxonomy places the organism in Eukaryota, Viridiplantae, Streptophyta, Magnoliopsida, Fabales, Fabaceae. The record is from RefSeq and is a predicted model, not a curated record.